RNAcentral lists this ribosomal RNA (643 nucleotides) under sulfate-reducing bacterium enrichment culture clone 1-0-A2. RNAcentral's name for it is "bacterial SSU rRNA". It matches the Rfam family "Bacterial small subunit ribosomal RNA", at positions 87 to 749 of the family's 1533-position model. The record is from RNAcentral.
UGAGAAGAGCGGCGGACGGGUGAGUAACGCGUGGGUAACCUGCCCUGUACACACGGAUAACAUACCGAAAAGUAUGCUAAUACGGGAUAACAUAUUUUGAUGGCAUCAUCGAAAUAUCAAAGCUCCGGCGGUACAGGAUGGACCCGCGUCUGAUUAGCUAGUUGGUGAGGUAAUGGCUCACCAAGGCGACGAUCAGUAGCCGACCUGAGAGGGUGAUCGGCCACAUUGGAACUGAGACACGGUCCAAACUCCUACGGGAGGCAGCAGUGGGGAAUAUUGCACAAUGGGCGAAAGCCUGAUGCAGCAACGCCGCGUGAGCGAUGAAGGCCUUCGGGUCGUAAAGCUCUGUCCUCAAGGAAGAUAAUGACGGUACUUGAGGAGGAAGCCCCGGCUAACUACGUGCCAGCAGCCGCGGUAAUACGUAGGGGGCUAGCGUUAUCCGGAAUUACUGGGCGUAAAGGGUGCGUAGGUGGUUUUUUAAGUCAGAAGUGAAAGGCUACGGCUCAACCGUAGUAAGCUUUUGAAACUGAGAAACUUGAGUGCAGGAGAGGAGAGUAGAAUUCCUAGUGUAGCGGUGAAAUGCGUAGAUAUUAGGAGGAAUACCAGUUGCGAAGGCGGCUCUCUGGACUGUAACUGACACUGA